Molecule: ribosomal RNA, 253 nt
Filed under: uncultured bacterium
Lineage: Bacteria
Description: partial 16S ribosomal RNA
Rfam family: Bacterial small subunit ribosomal RNA
Source: RNAcentral
UACGGGGGGUGCGAGCGUUAUUCGGAAUUAUUGGGCGUAAAGGGCGCGCAGGCGGUUGAAUAAGUCAGGUGUGAAAGCCCUUGGCUUAACCAAGGAAGUGCAUUUGAUACUAUUUGACUUGAGUAUGGGAGAGGGAAGUGGAAUUCCUGGUGUAGAGGUGAAAUUCGUAGAUAUCAGGAGGAACACCGGUGGCGAAAGCGACUUCCUGGACCAAUACUGACGCUGAGGCGCGAAGGCGUGGGGAGCAAACAGG